RNAcentral lists this transfer RNA (71 nucleotides) under Marmota monax (woodchuck). Its description in RNAcentral is "tRNA.Ala". The stretch from base 4 to 64 matches the Rfam family "tRNA", at positions 6 to 65 of the family's 71-position model. From Rfam's summary of the family: Transfer RNA (tRNA) molecules are approximately 80 nucleotides in length. Their secondary structure includes four short double-helical elements and three loops (D, anti-codon, and T loops). The record is from RNAcentral. Lineage: Eukaryota; Metazoa; Chordata; Mammalia; Rodentia; Sciuridae.
UUCUGGGGCUCAGAGGUAGAGUGCUCACCUAGCAUGUGUGAGGCUCUGGGUUCGAUCCUCAGCACCACAUA